Molecule: long non-coding RNA, 555 nt
Filed under: Triticum aestivum (bread wheat)
Lineage: Eukaryota; Viridiplantae; Streptophyta; Magnoliopsida; Poales; Poaceae
Description: long non-coding RNA (TAES_LNC013729)
Source: RNAcentral
GUCGAAUUUCAAUCAGAAAAAAUUGACUGAAACAUCUUUUUUCAAGCAGUUGUCCCAAGGUAUUUUGUAUUACCUCCUUCCCAAAUUAAUUGUCUUAGAUUUAGAUUCGGGACGGUGGCAGUACAUCACAGGGAUACAUGCACAUGCGUUAAAUACUCGAGUUAUGAUUGGCAACCGCAAAGUAAACGCUGCUAAUUCACCAUUGUUCUCCAUGGUAUGAUUUAUAGCAAACAAAAACAUGACUCAGAUGCUUGCACUUGCAACACAUCAAACAUGAUAAGAUCUUAUAUCAAACAUGAUAGCCUACACACGCACUGCAUCUUGUCGGAGACUCUCAGCUGACGCUGGGACUCGAGAUGCUGCUGCAAGCACACUGAAUUGGUGGUUGGAGCUUCGAUUGGUGUCCCAGCUUCGGCCUGAAGAGAAGAUGCAGCAUCAAAUUCCUAGCCUUUUAUGUUGAGGGCCGGUUAAGCUCCUGUAAUGGACAUGAAAGAUUAGCCUUGAGCCAGUGGAUGUGUAAAGGAAAAGAGGGGCUUAAGCAUGUGGAAUUCUUAC